AUGGUGCUCUUUCGAAUACUGAUGGAAGUGUUGUUGUACAUAUCAUUGCAGGUAGAAACAACGCUGAAAAUUGACGAUUAUGGGAAUCUUAUAAAAAGAACCCGGUUGGCAAUUACAGUGUCAAUUUUUGAUAUCAUAGGACAUGAGUUUCGAGAAAAACAUCAAAACAUUCUUCGAGAAGGUUGGUUGAAUCAUUAUAGUUUUAGCAAUGCUUCCAGUCCAGCUCCAGUCAACUUUCAUACAUACAACCAGUACUGUACUGUAUACAACAUCGGUCUAACUGUGUGUUUGGGAGAAGAAAAAUAUAGAUACGAAUAUAUUAUAGAAGUACGAAUACAUCCAUAG
RNAcentral lists this ribosomal RNA (345 nucleotides) under Triticum aestivum (bread wheat). Its description in RNAcentral is "partial small subunit ribosomal RNA". The record is from RNAcentral. Lineage: Eukaryota; Viridiplantae; Streptophyta; Magnoliopsida; Poales; Poaceae.